Non-coding RNA from Xenia sp. Carnegie-2017, 73 nucleotides. Lineage: Eukaryota; Metazoa; Cnidaria; Anthozoa; Malacalcyonacea; Xeniidae. The record is from the annotation of a RefSeq genome assembly.
GCCGAAAUAGCUCAGUUGGGAGAGCGUCAGACUGAAGAUCUGAAGGUCCCUGGUUCGACCCCUGGUUUCGGCA